RNAcentral lists this ribosomal RNA (163 nucleotides) under Epirixanthes pallida. RNAcentral's name for it is "5.8S ribosomal RNA". It matches the Rfam family "5.8S ribosomal RNA". Rfam says of the family: 5.8S ribosomal RNA (5.8S rRNA) is a component of the large subunit of the eukaryotic ribosome. The record is from RNAcentral. Lineage: Eukaryota; Viridiplantae; Streptophyta; Magnoliopsida; Fabales; Polygalaceae.
AAACAACUCUCGACAAUGGAUAUCUUGGCUCUCGCAUCGAUGAAGAACGUAGUGAAAUGCGAUACUUGGUGUGAAUUGCAGAAUCCCGUGAACCAUCGAGUCUUUGAACGCAAGUUGCNCUUGAAGCCAUUUGGCUAAGGGCACGUCUGCUUGGGUGUUAUGC